ACAUUUAACAUUUUUGGCUUCUACUUCCGAGUUCGUUGGCAUCCGUGAACUCGGGACUCGUUGUCUCUCUCUUCUCUCCCUCUCCCCGCUCUUGCAGAUAUGUUCAAGAAGUUCUCUUCUGAAGGUUUAUCUUUACAAAAUCAAGUGAAAAUGUCUGUCCAGUGCAAGAUCCGGCAAAGUAUUGCAGAUGAGGUGUGGAUUGAAACUGGCUCUUAAUUUCCCCUUCCUUUAGUUUCAAUGCAUCUAAGGAACAGUAGAAGCAUUAAUGAAUUUACUUCAACUGCAUCUGAAAUAUCUCUCACUUGCAUGUAAUACCCAGGCCUGGAACCGGUAUAAGAUGAUUUGCUAUCGAAGAAAUCACCCCUCAUUGUUGCCAAAUGUCAAAACCAUCUGAAUCCGGUUGUGGUGAACAAUGUGCCUUUGUUUUUCAAUGUUCGUGAUGGCCCUUGCAUGCCUACACUAUGGCUUCUUCAUCAAUGUAAAGCACUCCUUAUGCUUAUAACGUAGUGAAAAUUGGUCUUUCUACUGGGACAGA
Telopea speciosissima is the source of this 535-nucleotide long non-coding RNA. RefSeq lists it as uncharacterized. The transcript has 3 exons. The record is from RefSeq and is a predicted model, not a curated record. Lineage: Eukaryota; Viridiplantae; Streptophyta; Magnoliopsida; Proteales; Proteaceae.